This 1945-nucleotide long non-coding RNA is filed under the name Canis lupus familiaris (dog). RNAcentral's name for it is "lncRNA (ENSCAFG00000057145.1, ENSCAFG00805005901.1)". Lineage: Eukaryota; Metazoa; Chordata; Mammalia; Carnivora; Canidae. The record is from RNAcentral.
GAGAAAUGUGUGUAUGUGUGUGCACACGCACGUGCAUACACCUGCACAUGCAAAUACAAAGUAACGUUUUGGUGCAUGGGGUAGAAACCCCAGGAGCACACAACUUUUGAGCUGUAAUCUAGAGGGUUACCUGGUCAUUAGGAAGGAGAGAAACCCCAACCCUUUCUUGAUUUCAGAAACACUUAGGUGUAGUGUAUACUAGAGUAGACCUGUAGUACUAUAGUGUAGUAAUAUUCAUCUCUCAUUUUGGUUGCCUUUCAGAUUCGUAAUGCUUGGGAUCAUUCUUAGCAUCCCAACCUCUUAAGGCUCUCUAUCUAGCAGUUUCCUGGUUCUGUACCUUUAUCCCGGCUCUUUCUCAUUUGGGGAACUACCAAGAGCUCCAAGGACGGCCUGAGAAUGAUAGCCCAGGCUCUGAGGUCCCCUCCUGCUAAAGGGGCCCAGACAAAUACUUUUGGAGAGACCUGAAGUUUCUGAGACAUAGCAGCUCACAAAAAUCUUCACCUAUUCCAUCUGAGAAUUUCAGUUUUAAAGCAAUCCAGGCAUGUUUGGUAAAGAUGUUUUCGUGGGAGUUUUUUCUUUUAAAAAAGAAAGCAUUAUUGUGAAGAGAGUCACUUUUAAGGGCAUUUUAAAAUUUUUAAAUCCAUUCUUAGGCUCUUUUUGAAAACUAUUUGUGGAUACUUUGUUUACAUUGUGAUAAUUAAAACGUGCAUCAUCUUGACAGCCACUGAGUCCCCUCGUCCAGGCACCCAGCCCCGGCUGUCCUGUGAGUCCUCAAACAGAGCAGGGCCACUGUGGCCAGCCCUCAGGGGUGAAUGAGGAGGACCUGGAGCUGACUCCCAUCUGUCCUGCACUCCUGUUCAGCACUCUGUGUGGAAAUAGCCCUUUCCUCAGUCAGUGAUGGCGUGUCUUACAGUGAUGGUUAUAAUGGUGAAUGGCUAGUGUCAUUUUUGUCUAAUUUUGUUUUGCUUUUUGAUGGUAGAUGAAAUUUUAGCUCUUUCAGCACCAAUGCAACUUGAAGGUAUCUUGGACUUUGUUUUCCCUUCCAGACUAGAAGAUCAAGGCAUAUAUUAGGCAUAAAUGUACUUGCUGCCUCAACUCUUCUGACACUCAUAUUAGGAAAAAGCCCACCCCCAAAGCAGGAUGCUGCAUGCUCCUCACUCCUGUUCCAGGGCUUUGAGGUCCCUUGAUGCCAUGAAGAGCUAUUGCAAGGUGCUUCUGUACUUUUCCAGCCUGGAAGUGGAGGGUGACCGGGCCUGGCUCUUGCUAUGAAAAGAAAACCAGCCUCAUUUUCUCAGUGCCCCAGAGAUCAGGACAGGAUUUCUAAACUAGAGUCAUCCAUUAGCUUGAAGAUGCCUCAAAGGGUCUAUGACUAGUGCUAGUCAUCUGUGUCCUCACAGCGACACUGGUGGCAGCAUCCUCCGUGCACAUGCAGAGCUAAUACCCAGGGCUUAAUUGAAGCUGAUGACUCAAUCUGGAAACUGGGUAACUGGCCCUGAAAUGAUUCUCAGUCAACAGGCCUGCAGGCAAUUGUUUGGUUUUUCUGUUUUGGGGGGGUUUUGGUUUGCCUGGCAUAGCUUAAGGUGCCUUUUAUUUUUUUUUCUUCCUACUUUAUUUCAUAGGACUUGUUCUAAAUGUAGAACGCAAGUCCAAAAGACUCCCACUGACUGUUAACUUUGCCCCAGGCCAGUCCCAAACUUUUAUGCUCACAUUUUAUUAAAUAAAGCAGGUGCUCCCUGGAAUCUCUGGGACCUUUUUGAGGCAUUUGAAGCAGAAUAUAGAGUGGUCUCAUCUCCUUCCUUAAUCUUCCUGGUGGUUGGGAUGUUCCACUUGUAUUAUAGAUUUUUUUUAUUACUGAUGUGCUCUGCUGUUUUUAAAUGUGAACUUGUGCGCAAAUGUGCAGAUUCAAUGUUCUUGUUACAGAUUAAAUAAAUUUUUAUUUUGAAGA